UACGUAGGGUGCGAGCGUUGUCCGGAAUUAUUGGGCGUAAAGAGCUCGUAGGCGGUGUGUCACGUCGGCCGUGAAAACUUGCAGCUUAACUGUGGGCGUGCGGUCGAUACGGGCAUCACUGGAGUUCGGCAGGGGAGACUGGAAUUCCUGGUGUAGCGGUGAAAUGCGCAGAUAUCAGGAGGAACACCGGUGGCGAAGGCGGGUCUCUGGGCCGAUACUGACGCUGAGGAGCGAAAGCGUGGGGAGCAAACGGG
This 254-nucleotide ribosomal RNA is filed under the name uncultured bacterium. Its description in RNAcentral is "partial 16S ribosomal RNA". It matches the Rfam family "Bacterial small subunit ribosomal RNA", at positions 524 to 776 of the family's 1533-position model. The record is from RNAcentral.